Molecule: ribosomal RNA, 724 nt
Filed under: uncultured bacterium
Lineage: Bacteria
Description: bacterial SSU rRNA
Rfam family: Bacterial small subunit ribosomal RNA
Source: RNAcentral
AGAGUUUGAUCCUGGCUCAAAAUGAACGCUGGCGGCGUGCUUUACACAUGCAAGUCGAGCGAGGCGGGGAGCACUCCCCAGUCGAGCGGCGAACGGGUGAGUAACGCGUGGAUAACCUGCCCUUCAGCGGGGAAUAACCCGGGGAAACUCGAGCUAAUACCGCAUACGACCGAGAGGUGAAGGGGGGCCGCAAGGCUUCCACUGAAGGAGGGGUCCGCGUUCGAUUAGCUAGUUGGUAGGGUAAUGGCCUACCAAGGCGACGAUCGAUAGCCGGCCUGAGAGGGUGAUCGGCCACACUGGAACUGAGACACGGUCCACACUCCUACGGGAGGCAGCAGUGGGGAAUUUUGCGCAAUGGGCUAACGCCUGACGCACCACCGCCGCGUGGAGGAUGAAGGUCUUUGGAUUGUAAACUCCUGUCAGCAGGGAAAAAGCGACUCAGGUUAAUACCCUGGGGAGUUGAUUGUACCUGUAGAGGAAGCCCCGGCUAACUCUGUGCCAGCAGCCGCGGUAAUACAGAGGGGGCAAGCGUUAUUCUUAAUUAUUGGGCGUAAAGGGCGCGUAGGCGGCUUUGCAAGUGGCGGGUGACAUCCCUCGGCUUAACCGAGGAACUGCCUGCCAGACUGCAUGGCUUGAGACCGGGAGAGGUGAGUGUAUUUCCCAGUGUAGCGGUGAAAUGCGUAUAUAUUGGGAGGAACACCAGUGGCGAGGGCGGCUCACUGGC